RNAcentral lists this unclassified non-coding RNA (311 nucleotides) under plant metagenome. Its description in RNAcentral is "partial contains 5.8S ribosomal RNA, internal transcribed spacer 2, and large subunit ribosomal RNA". The stretch from base 1 to 105 matches the Rfam family "5.8S ribosomal RNA", at positions 50 to 154 of the family's 154-position model. The record is from RNAcentral.
GAAAUGCGAUAAGUAAUGUGAAUUGCAGAAUUCAGUGAAUCAUCGAAUCUUUGAACGCACAUUGCGCCCGCCAGUAUUCUGGCGGGCAUGCCUGUUCGAACGUCAUUUCCACCAUCAGGCCCCCGGGCCUGUGUUGGGGACCUGCGGCUGCCCGCAGGCCCCGAAAUUCAGUGGCGGUCGCGCCGUAGCAACCGAGCGUAGUAACUAAAACGUCUCGCUCUGGCUCGCUGGGCGCGCUCCGGCCGUAAAACACCCCCCCUUUUCGCAAAGGUUGACCUCGGAUCAGGUAGGAAUACCCGCUGAACUUAAGC